RNAcentral lists this unclassified non-coding RNA (24 nucleotides) under Mus musculus (house mouse). RNAcentral's name for it is "oocyte_clustered_small_RNA3706". The record is from RNAcentral. Lineage: Eukaryota; Metazoa; Chordata; Mammalia; Rodentia; Muridae.
UGCGGCCCUCGCAGCACCGUGUCC